RNAcentral lists this ribosomal RNA (2209 nucleotides) under Enterococcus mundtii. RNAcentral's name for it is "bacterial LSU rRNA". It matches the Rfam family "Bacterial large subunit ribosomal RNA", at positions 1 to 2222 of the family's 2925-position model. Lineage: Bacteria; Bacillati; Bacillota; Bacilli; Lactobacillales; Enterococcaceae. The record is from RNAcentral.
UUAAGUGAAUAAGGGCGCACGGUGGAUGCCUUGGCACUAGGAGCCGAUGAAGGACGGGACUAACACCGAUAUGCUUUGGGGAGCUGUACGUAAGCUAUGAUCCAGAGAUUUCCGAAUGGGGGAACCCAGCAUCUUUUAUAGGAUGUUACGUAUACGUGAAUACAUAGCGUAUACGAGGUAGACGCAGAGAACUGAAACAUCUAAGUACCUGCAGGAAGAGAAAGAAAAUUCGAUUCCCUGAGUAGCGGCGAGCGAAACGGGAAAAGCCCAAACCAAUGAGCUUGCUCAUUGGGGUUGUAGGACUCCGAUAUGGUAGUUCUUUCAGAUAGUCGAAUGACUUGGAAAAGUCAGUCAAAGAGGGUGAAAGCCCCGUAGAUGAAAUUUGGAAGGCACCUAGGAGGAUCCUGAGUACGGCGGAACACGAGGAAUUCCGUCGGAAUCCGGGAGGACCAUCUCCCAAGGCUAAAUACUCCCUAGUGACCGAUAGUGAACCAGUACCGUGAGGGAAAGGUGAAAAGCACCCCGGAAGGGGAGUGAAAUAGAACCUGAAACCGUGUGCCUACAACAAGUCAAAGCCCGUUAAUGGGUGAUGGCGUGCCUUUUGUAGAAUGAACCGGCGAGUUACGAUUGCAUGCGAGGUUAAGUUGAAGAGACGGAGCCGUAGCGAAAGCGAGUCUGAAUAGGGCGUUUGAGUAUGUAGUCGUAGACCCGAAACCAUGUGAUCUACCCAUGUCCAGGUUGAAGGUGCGGUAAAACGCACUGGAGGACCGAACCCACGUACGUUGAAAAGUGCGGGGAUGAGGUGUGGGUAGCGGAGAAAUUCCAAACGAACUUGGAGAUAGCUGGUUCUCUCCGAAAUAGCUUUAGGGCUAGCCUCGGAAUUGAGAAUGAUGGAGGUAGAGCACUGUUUGGACUAGGGGCCCAUCUCGGGUUACCGAAUUCAGAUAAACUCCGAAUGCCAUUCAUUCAUAUCCGGGAGUCAGACUGUGAGUGAUAAGAUCCAUAGUCGAAAGGGAAACAGCCCAGACCACCAGCUAAGGUCCCAAAAUAUAUGUUAAGUGGAAAAGGAUGUGGGGUUGCACAGACAACUAGGAUGUUGGCUUAGAAGCAGCCACCAUUUAAAGAGUGCGUAAUAGCUCACUAGUCGAGUGACCCUGCGCCGAAAAUGUACCGGGGCUAAACAUAUUACCGAAGCUGUGGAGUACACCUUUAGGUGUAUUGGUAGGAGAGCGUUCUAAGGGCGUUGAAGGUAGAUCGUGAGGACUGCUGGAGCGCUUAGAAGUGAGAAUGCCGGUAUGAGUAGCGAAAGACAGGUGAGAAUCCUGUCCACCGAAUGACUAAGGUUUCCUGGGGAAGGCUCGUCCGCCCAGGGUUAGUCGGGACCUAAGCCGAGGCCGACAGGCGUAGGCGAUGGACAACAGGUUGAUAUUCCUGUACUCGUUGUUUUUGUUUGAGCAAUGGAGGGACGCAGGAGGCUAAGGAAUGCAGACGAUCGGAAAUGUCUGUCCAAGCAGUAAGUCUUGAUAGGAGUCAAAUGCUUCUAACUUUAAGGACAAGCUGUGAUGGGGAGGGAAAUAAUAGUACCGAAGUUCCUGACGUCACACUGCCGAGAAAAGCUUCUAGUGAGAAAAUAACGACCCGUACCGCAAACCGACACAGGUAGUCGAGGAGAGAAUCCUAAGGUGAGCGAGAGAACUCUCGUUAAGGAACUCGGCAAAAUGACCCCGUAACUUCGGGAGAAGGGGUGCUGAUCGUCAGAUCAGCCGCAGUGAAUAGGCCCAAGCGACUGUUUAUCAAAAACACAGGUCUCUGCAAAAUCGUAAGAUGAAGUAUAGGGGCUGACGCCUGCCCGGUGCUGGAAGGUUAAGAGGAGUGCUUAGCGUAAGCGAAGGUACGAAUUGAAGCCCCAGUAAACGGCGGCCGUAACUAUAACGGUCCUAAGGUAGCGAAAUUCCUUGUCGGGUAAGUUCCGACCCGCACGAAAGGCGUAACGAUUUGGGCACUGUCUCAACGAGAGACUCGGUGAAAUUUUAGUACCUGUGAAGAUGCAGGUUACCCGCGACAGGACGGAAAGACCCCAUGGAGCUUUACUGUAGUUUGAUAUUGAGUGUCUGUACCGCAUGUACAGGAUAGGUAGGAGCCGUAGAAGUCGGAACGCUAGUUUCGAUGGAGGCGCUGGUGGGAUACUACCCCUGCGUUAUGGCCACUC